AGGUUCGCACAACGCGAUUAAAAAGGGAAUGGAGUGCAAGUCUCCAACUGUCCCGCAGCUGUGAGUUCCAUUUACGCUUCAAACAAGAGGCCACUGCCCUACCAGGCGGGAAGGUGUUUGAAGAGGAAUUUAGUCAGAAGACCUGCCUUUACCAUUU
RNAcentral lists this non-coding RNA (157 nucleotides) under uncultured Prevotella sp. The record is from RNAcentral. Lineage: Bacteria; Pseudomonadati; Bacteroidota; Bacteroidia; Bacteroidales; Prevotellaceae.